UACGUAGGGGGCAAGCGUUGUCCGGAUUUAUUGGGCGUAAAGAGCGUGUAGGCGGCUAGAUAGGUCCGUUGUGAAAACUCGAGGCUCAACCUCGAGACGUCGAUGGAAACCAUCUGGCUAGAGUCCGGAAGAGGAGAGUGGAAUUCCUGGUGUAGCGGUGAAAUGCGCAGAUAUCAGGAAGAACACCGGUGGCGAAGGCGGUCUGCUGGGCAGUAGCUGACGCUGAGGCGCGACAGCGUGGGGAGCAAACAGG
This 253-nucleotide ribosomal RNA is filed under the name uncultured bacterium. Its description in RNAcentral is "partial 16S ribosomal RNA". It matches the Rfam family "Bacterial small subunit ribosomal RNA", at positions 524 to 776 of the family's 1533-position model. The record is from RNAcentral.